RNAcentral lists this ribosomal RNA (468 nucleotides) under uncultured bacterium. Its description in RNAcentral is "bacterial SSU rRNA". It matches the Rfam family "Bacterial small subunit ribosomal RNA", at positions 29 to 501 of the family's 1533-position model. The record is from RNAcentral.
AACGAACGCUGGCGGCGCGCCUAAUACAUGCAAGUCGAGCGAGAAGACGUAGCAAUACGUUUGUAAAGCGGCGAACGGGUGAGGAAUACAUGGGUAACCUACCCUCGAGUGGGGAAUAACUAGCCGAAAGGUUAGCUAAUACCGCGUACGCUCCUUGGACUUCGGUUCAGGGAGGAAAGCGAUACCGUGGGUAUCGCGCUCUUGGAUGGGCUCAUGUCCUAUCAGCUUGUUGGUGAGGAACGGCUCACCAAGGCUUCGACGGGUAGCUGGUCUGAGAGGACGAUCAGCCACACUGGCACUGCGACACGGGCCAGACUCCUACGGGAGGCAGCAGUAAGGAAUAUUGCGCAAUGGGCGAAAGCCUGACGCAGCGACGCCGCGUGGGGGAUGAAGGUCUUCGGAUUGUAAACCUCUUUCAGCUCCGACGAAGCGAGAGUGACGGUAGGAGCAGAAGAAGCACCGGCCAAC